ACUCCUACGGGAGGCAGCAGUGGGGAAUAUUGGACAAUGGGGGAAACCCUGAUCCAGCGACGCCGCGUGAGUGAAGAAGUAUUUCGGUAUGUAAAGCUCUAUCAGCAGGGAAGAAAAUGACGGUACCUGACUAAGAAGCCCCGGCUAACUACGUGCCAGCAGCCGCGGUAAU
Molecule: ribosomal RNA, 172 nt
Filed under: uncultured bacterium
Lineage: Bacteria
Description: partial 16S ribosomal RNA
Rfam family: Bacterial small subunit ribosomal RNA
Source: RNAcentral